UGGGGGAUAUUGCACAAUGGGCGAAAGCCUGAUGCAGCGACGCCGCGUGGGGGAUGAAGGCUUUCGGGUUGUAAACCUCUUUCGCUAUCGAACAAGGCCCGCUUAGGGUGGGUUGAGGGUAGGUGGAGAAGAAGCGCCGGCUAACUACGUGCCAGCAGCCGCGGUAAUACGUAGGGCGCGAGCGUUGUCCGGAAUUAUUGGGCGUAAAGGGCUUGUAGGCGGCUUGUUGCGCCUGCUGUGAAAACGCGGGGCUUAACUUCGCGCGUGCAGUGGGUACGGGCAGGCUUGAGUGUGGUAGGGGUGACUGGAAUUCCAGGUGUAGCGGUGGAAUGCGCAGAUAUCUGGAGGAACACCGAUGGCGAAGGCAGGUUACUGGGCCAUUACUGACGCUGAGGAGCGAAAGCAUGGGUAGCGAACAGG
This 420-nucleotide ribosomal RNA is filed under the name bacterium. Its description in RNAcentral is "partial 16S ribosomal RNA". It matches the Rfam family "Bacterial small subunit ribosomal RNA", at positions 355 to 776 of the family's 1533-position model. The record is from RNAcentral.